Molecule: ribosomal RNA, 301 nt
Filed under: uncultured bacterium
Lineage: Bacteria
Description: partial 16S ribosomal RNA
Rfam family: Bacterial small subunit ribosomal RNA
Source: RNAcentral
CAGUCGCCACGGGAAUACAGAGGGUGCGAGCGUUAAUCGGAUUUACUGGGCGUAAAGCGUGCGUAGGCGGCUUUUUAAGUCGGAUGUGAAAUCCCUGAGCUUAACUUAGGAAUUGCAUUCGAUACUGGGAAGCUAGAGUAUGGGAGAGGAUGGUAGAAUUCCAGGUGUAGCGGUGAAAUGCGUAGAGAUCUGGAGGAAUACCGAUGGCGAAGGCAGCCAUCUGGCCUAAUACUGACGCUGAGGUACGAAAGCAUGGGGAGCAAACAGGAUUAGAUACCCCUGUAGUCCCUGUCUCUUAUAC